RNAcentral lists this ribosomal RNA (393 nucleotides) under uncultured Escherichia sp. RNAcentral's name for it is "bacterial SSU rRNA". It matches the Rfam family "Bacterial small subunit ribosomal RNA", at positions 524 to 916 of the family's 1533-position model. The record is from RNAcentral. Lineage: Bacteria; Pseudomonadati; Pseudomonadota; Gammaproteobacteria; Enterobacterales; Enterobacteriaceae.
UAUGAAGGGUGCAAGCGUUAAUCGGAAUUACUGGGCGUAAAGCGCGCGUAGGUGGCUUGAUAAGUUGGAUGUGAAAUCCCCGGGCUCAACCUGGGAACUGCAUCUGAUACUGGCAAGCUUGAGUCUCGUAGAGGGGGGUAGAAUUCCAGGUGUAGCGGUGAAAUGCGUAGAGAUCUGGAGGAAUACCGGUGGCGAAGGCGGCCCCCUGGACGAAGACUGACGCUCAGGUGCGAAAGCGUGGGGAGCAAACAGGAUUAGAUACCCUGGUAGUCCACGCCGUAAACGAUGUCGACUUGGAGGUUGUGCCCUUGAGGCGUGGCUUCCGGAGCUAACGCGUUAAGUCGACCGCCUGGGGAGUACGGCCGCAAGGUUAAAACUCAGAGGAAUUGACGG